CUGACUGCUAUCGGAUGAUACUAAGCCAUGCGAGUCAUUGUAGCAAUACAAGGCAGACGGCUCAGUAACGCGUAGUCAACCUACCCUAUGGACGGGAAUAACCUCGGGAAACUGAGUAUAAUGCCCGAUAGAACAUUAUGCCUGGAAUGGUUUAUGUUCCAAAUGAUUUAUCGCCGUAGGAUGGGACUGCGGCCUAUCAGUUUGUUGGUGAGGUAAUGGCCCACCAAGACUAUUACAGGUACGGGCUCUGAGAGGAGUAGCCCGGAGAUGGGUACUGAGACACGGACCCAGGCCCUAUGGGGCGCAGCAGGCGAGAAAACUUUGCAAUGUGCGAAAGCACGACAAGGUUAAUCCGAGUGGUUUCUGCUAAAGGAACCUUUUGUUAGUCCUAAAAACACUAACGAAUAAGGGGUGGGCAAGUUCUGGUGUCAGCCGCCGCGGUAAAACCAGCACCUCAAGUGGUCAGGAUGAUUAUUGGGCCUAAAGCAUCCGUAGCCUGCUCUGUAAGUUUUCGGUUAAAUCUGUAUGCUCAACAUACAGGCCGCCGGAAAUACUGCAGGGCUAGGGAGUGGGAGAGGUAGACGGUACUCGGGAGGAAGUGGUAAAAUGCUUUGAUCUCUCGAUGACCACCUGUGGCGAAGGCGGUCUACCAGAACACGUCCGACGGUGAGGGAUGAAAGCUGGGGGAGCAAACCGGAUUAGAUACCCGGGUAGUCCCAGCUGUAAACGAUGCAGACUCGAUGAUGCAUUGGCAUAAUAGCCAGUGCAGUGUCGCAGGGAAGCCGUUAAGUCUGCCGCCUGGGAAGUACGUACGCAAGUAUGAAACUUAAAGGAAUUGGCGGGGGAGCACCACAAGGGGUGAAGCCUGCGGUUCAAU
RNAcentral lists this ribosomal RNA (877 nucleotides) under uncultured marine group I thaumarchaeote. Its description in RNAcentral is "SSU rRNA". It matches the Rfam family "Archaeal small subunit ribosomal RNA", at positions 23 to 906 of the family's 1478-position model. The record is from RNAcentral. Lineage: Archaea; Thermoproteati; Nitrososphaerota.